AAAGGACCCAGGUGCAGCGUGGUAGAAGGAGAAAAGGACCCAGGUGCAGCGUGGUAGAAGGAGAAAAGGACCCAGGUGCAGCGUGGUAGAAGGAGAAGAGGACCCAGGUGCAGCGUGGUAGAAGGAGAAUAUGACCCAGGUGCAGCGUGGUAGAAGGAGAAAAGGACCCAGGUGCAGCGUGGUAGAAGGAGAAAAGGACCCAGGUGCAGCGUGGUAGAAGGAGAAGAGGACCCAGGUGCAGCGUGGUAGAGGAGAAAAGGACCCAGGUGCAGUGUGGUAGAAGGAGAAGAGGACCCAGGUGCAGCGUGGUAGAAGGAGAAAAGGACCCAGGUGCAGCGUGGUAGAUGGAGAAGAGGACCCAGGUGCAGCGUGAUAGAAGGAGAAAAG
Oncorhynchus tshawytscha (Chinook salmon) is the source of this 387-nucleotide long non-coding RNA. The record is from Ensembl. Lineage: Eukaryota; Metazoa; Chordata; Actinopteri; Salmoniformes; Salmonidae.